AUGUCUGUUCUCAGACCUUUUUUUUUUUUUUUAAAGAUUUAUUUAUUUAAAAGGCAUUUACAGAGAGACACACACACAUACACACACACACAGAAAGUGGGGGGAAGGAGAGAGACGGAGAGAGGGAGAGAGGGAGACCUUCCACCUGGUGGCUACUCCCCAAAUCACUACAGUGGCGGGGCCCAGGCCAGGCCGAAGCCAGGAGCCUGGAGCUCCAGCGGGGUCUCCCACGUUGGUGCAGGAGCCCAGGGACUGGGGCGUCUUCUGCUGCCUCCCUGGUGCAUCAGCAGGGAGCUGGAAGGGAAGUGGGGCAGCAGGACUCCGACCGGCUCCUGUAUGGGACACUGGGGUCGCAGGCAGCGGCUUUACCCGCUGUGCCACAGCACCGGCCCCAGUUCCCAGCCCCUGGCUUCGGCCUGGCGCAGCCCCAGCCCCAGGACUGCGAGUAUGGGCAGGGAGGAAACCAGCAAACGGGAGGACCGACAUGCCACGAGGGGUGUGCUCGGGAGACAGCACGUCACGUGGAGCAGCGCGCUCCCCACACAGCAGGAGUGCAAGGUUCCCGCGGCAGCGCCGCCCGGGUCCUUGCUCACCCCGCUGGAUCCUCAUUGCACCCCCUUCUGGGUCGGAUCCAGUGCAGGCCCUGUCUACGAGGUGCGGAGUGGCCAGGCAGCCCACCUGGCGUGUGGAAGGCGGCAGGGUCUGGACAGUGAGCCACAAGGCCCCGGGCCCCUCAAAGGCACGCCAGGCACACGGCUGACCAGGUCAGCCCCAGGGCCCUCUGUGUCCACGGUUCCCACUCUGCUACUGGGCUUACACAGUAACCAUCUGGGAGCCGGACACCACCCCCAGGAGGCCCCCCGGCUUAGACCUAGAACAAGCAGACUCAGCAGCUGCCACCCCGGAGGUGGCAGUGGGCACCGGAGGGCACUCUGGCCACGGCAGGGACGUGGACAGCCCUUUGCACUCUCCAGCUCCACUCCGACAGGGCGCUGCCCCUUCCGCCCCAUGCGUCAGCCCAGCAUCCCCAGUCAGCCGGGAAAUGUUGUCACCAGGUAUAGGGGGUGGAGGGGGGGGGACCACCCUCUGGAAACAAAAAACCCGGGAAAACCCCAGCCUGGGAAGGGAGGGACCUGCCGGCGCCGACAAGGCACAAAACAGCUGGGAGACAUCCACGGCCACCGAGCAGCUUCGCAGAUGGGGAAACUGAGGCAGGACCCCAGCAGGUG
Molecule: long non-coding RNA, 1229 nt
Filed under: Oryctolagus cuniculus (rabbit)
Lineage: Eukaryota; Metazoa; Chordata; Mammalia; Lagomorpha; Leporidae
Description: lncRNA (ENSOCUG00000035792.1)
Source: RNAcentral